RNAcentral lists this transfer RNA (66 nucleotides) under Rybaxis sp. 1 EF-2015. RNAcentral's name for it is "tRNA-Ile". Lineage: Eukaryota; Metazoa; Arthropoda; Insecta; Coleoptera; Staphylinidae. The record is from RNAcentral.
AAUAAAGUGCCUGAAAAAAAGGACUAUUUUGAUAGAAUAGAUCAUACGCUAAAUUCGUCUUUAUUA